RNAcentral lists this ribosomal RNA (1311 nucleotides) under Triticum aestivum (bread wheat). Its description in RNAcentral is "partial small subunit ribosomal RNA". Lineage: Eukaryota; Viridiplantae; Streptophyta; Magnoliopsida; Poales; Poaceae. The record is from RNAcentral.
AUGGCAGAAUCUGCAGCACUUGCUUCUGACCCUAAGAGGCUAUUCAGAAAAUUGGAUGGGAUCCUGGCACUGACAGACCAAAUCCCUACAAGAUCUACCGCUGACUACGCUACCAUGACAGAAGAAGAGAUAUGGGACGAGUGUCUCGAGUGGCUAACAUCGAUGUGGCCGCAUCGACUAAAUGUUAUACUAGGGGAUCAAAUGGGAGCUGGGGGUGUAAUCCCAACACUUGUGUUUCUUGACCGUCCCAAACAGAGUGGCCAGCAUGGUCCAUACCUGAUAGUUUCUUCUCUGGACAAGGACAACGGUAUUGGAGACUGGUUGAGACAGAUAAGGCUUUUUCCAUCUAUGAAGGAACUGUUUUACUUUGGAAACCAACAGGGUCGCGCAACAAUGAGAAAACAGUUUGCGCGCAAAGCUGUUGGCCCUGAUUUCCCGAUCAUACUGACCACAUAUAAUAUGGUCAUGGUAGAAAAGCAAUUGCUUGCUCAGUAUGACUGGAAAUAUGUUGUUGUCGACGAGGGCUAUCAACUCAAGAAAAGAGAACACGAAGUAUUGGAGGCGGUAAAGCGCCAGCCAAUGGAUCAUAAGCUCCUUUUGAUAAGGGAGCCUUUUCAAAAUAACCUAGCAGAGCUGUGGUCGCUAUUGAACUUUGCUCUGCCUAAUGCAUUCUCAUCUCGUGAGGAAUUUGAUUCGUGGUUUGAUAAAUCUGAGAAAGAAGGUGAGGAACAACAAAUUGAAGAGGAAAGAAGGGCCCUUCUUUCGAAGCUUCAUGCCAUUUUGCGCCCAUUCCUUCUAAGGGACAUGAAGGGGGCUGUCCAAAACACGGUUCCACAAAACAAAGGUGCCACAUGCUACAAGACUAAAGUUGUUCGGAACUCGGUUGCAAUUAGCAUCACAUGCUCCGGUGACAACGCGACAAAAGAAGGCGCAAAGACUGAUGGUGAGAGUUGUCAAGAGGUAUCAGCAGAGGUUGUUGGUGUAACUGAUGGUGAAGGUAGUCCUAACACGCAAAUCGGUCAAUUGGGCCUGGAAGUUGAAGUUAAUAAGGUCAGUAAGAGGCCGAGAACAAAUGAUGCACCUAUCUCACCAUUAGGCGAAAGCAAUCCAGCUGUGCAUGUGCAAGUGCCAAAUUCAAGUUCCCCUGAAAUAAUCUUCAAGGCACUCAAAAACAUACCUGACUUAGCCCGUAUUGAUAUUCUGAGAGCCUACAGUGCUCUUAUCCGUGAUGACCGCCGAUUUGAGUCUCUCAUGGCACUCCCGAUGGACAUGAGAAAGGAUUGGCUGCUCAUGGAGAUUGGAAACAACUAG